RNAcentral lists this ribosomal RNA (429 nucleotides) under bacterium. RNAcentral's name for it is "partial 16S ribosomal RNA". It matches the Rfam family "Bacterial small subunit ribosomal RNA", at positions 355 to 776 of the family's 1533-position model. The record is from RNAcentral.
UAGGGAAUCUUCGGCAAUGGGGGCAACCCUGACCGAGCAACGCCGCGUGAGUGAAGAAGGUUUUCGGAUCGUAAAGCUCUGUUGUAAGAGAAGAACGUGUGUGAGAGUGGAAAGUUCACACAGUGACGGUAACUUACCAGAAAGGGACGGCUGACUACGUGCCAGCAGCCGCGGUAAUACGUAGGUCCCGAGCGUUGUCCGGAUUUAUUGGGCGUAAAGCGAGCGCAGGCGGUUUAAUAAGUCUGAAGUUAAAGGCAGUGGCUUAACCAUUGUUCGCUUUGGAAACUGUUAAACUUGAGUGCAGAAGGGGAGAGUGGAAUUCCAUGUGUAGCGGUGAAAUGCGUAGAUAUAUGGAGGAACACCGGUGGCGAAAGCGGCUCUCUGGUCUGUAACUGACGCUGAGGCUCGAAAGCGUGGGGAGCAAACAGG